Molecule: ribosomal RNA, 873 nt
Filed under: Peziza buxoides
Lineage: Eukaryota; Fungi; Ascomycota; Pezizomycetes; Pezizales; Pezizaceae
Description: partial large subunit ribosomal RNA
Rfam family: Eukaryotic large subunit ribosomal RNA
Source: RNAcentral
UAUCAAUAAGCGGAGGAAAAGAAACCAACAGGGAUUGCCUCAGUAACGGCGAGUGAAGCGGCAAAAGCUCAGAUUUGAAAUCUGGCGUCAUAUUGGCGUCCGAGUUGUAAUCUGUAGAGGAGUAUUCGAGUGUGGCGCUGGCUUAAGUUCCUUGGAACAGGACGUCAUAGAGGGUGAGAACCCCGUUAACGGCCUUUGUCUUAUGCUCAUGUGAAUCUCCUUCAACGAGUCGAGUUGUUUGGGAAUGCAGCUCUAAAUGGGUGGUAAAUUCCAUCUAAAGCUAAAUACUGGCAAGAGACCGAUAGCGCACAAGUAGAGUGAUCGAAAGAUGAAAAGAACUCUGAACAGAGAGUUAAAUAGUACGUGAAAUUGUUGAAAGGGAAGCACUUGCUACCAGACACGCCUGUAGUUGAUCAACCUUCAUUCUUGAUGGUGCACUCAGCUAUAGGUGGGUCAGCAUCAGUUACGGCGGUGGGAUAAAGACUUGGGGAAUGUGGCUUCUCUCGGGAAGUGUUAUAGCCCUUUGUGUAAUACCACCUGCUGUGACUGAGGACCGCGCUUCGGCGAGGAUGCUGGCAUAAUGGUCGUAAGUGACCCGUCUUGAAACACGGACCAAGGAGUCUAACAUCUAUGCGAGUGUUUGGGUGUCAAAACCCUUACGCGGAAUGAAAGUGAAUGUAGGUGGGAACCGCAAGGUGCACCAUCGACCGAUCCUGAUGUCUUCGGAUGGAUUUGAGUAGGAGCAUAGCUGUUGGGACCCGAAAGAUGGUGAACUAUGCCUGAAUAGGGUGAAGCCAGAGGAAACUCUGGUGGAGGCUCGCAGCGGUUCUGACGUGCAAAUCGAUCGUCAAAUUUGGGUAUAGGGGCGAAAGA